This 3309-nucleotide long non-coding RNA is filed under the name Canis lupus familiaris (dog). RNAcentral describes it as "lncRNA (ENSCAFG00000051244.1)". Lineage: Eukaryota; Metazoa; Chordata; Mammalia; Carnivora; Canidae. The record is from RNAcentral.
UCAGUGGAGAGUCUGCUUCUCCCUUUCCCUCUGUCCCUCUCCCCUGCUUGUGCUCCCUCCCUCUCUCAAAUAAAUAAACAAAAUCUUAAAAAAAAAAAACACCCUCCUUCCAUGUUGUACACCUGAAACUAAUGUAGUGUGUCAACUCUACUCAAAAAUAUAUAGAGCUAUUUAAAAAAUGAUAAAGUUUAACAUAAAACUUUUGAGCAGUUAAAAAUCCCCCUUAACACCAAUAUUUUAUAGAAUCCAUUUUCACUUACAUUUACUCACAUAUUUAUAAUUUUCUGUGUUCUUUAUUCAUUCUCAAAAUUCUGACUUUCCGUUAAGGACCAUUUUCUUUUUCCCAGAAGGGUGUCAUUUAGAAUCUUCAUGAUUGAGGGAUUACUGGUAGCAAAAUGGAGGCAUGUUGAAGUGCCUUUGCAUUUGUCCUAGAGGGUCUCAUUUCACUGUGUUCUGCUUUCCUGAGAAAUCAACUGUGAGUCCAGCGAUUGCUACUUUGACAUGUGACCUGGCUUGGGUUGGCAGAAGCACGUGGAGCAGCCCAUAUGAAGAUGCACAUGGAGGCAUCACGGCUGAGCUGGGGACACUCUAAGGAGAUGUGGAUGCUGGGUAAAAUCAGAAGAGUUCGAGGCCGAGAGACCAGAGCCCAGACAGCAAAAAGGAUGUCAAAGCCAGAAAGGUAGAUAUACAGAGAAGGAAGAGACUGUGGUACAUGCUGGGAAUUAAACAUUAUUCAAAUGGCGCUAAGAUGAAAUGCGCUAUCAAGCUAUGAGAAAACAUGUGGGAGCCUUAAAUGCAUCCCACUAAGUACAAGAGGCCAGUCUGAAAAGGCCAAGUACUGAGUUAUUCCAACUGCAUAAUAGUUAUGGACUGAAGGUUUGCAUUACCCCCAAAGUUCCUAUGUGGAAAUCCUGAUCCCCUUGAUAUGAUGCUAUUAGGAUGUGGGAUGUUUGAGAAGUAAUUAGGCCAUGCAGGUGGAGCCCUCUUGAAUGGAAUUAAGUGCCCUGAGGAAAGAGACCCCAGACCCCUAGCUGUCUGCAGGGUGAGGACACUAUGAGAAGACAGCCAUCUAGGAACCAGGUUCUCACCAAACACCCAACUGCCUUCAUCGCAGACUUCCCAGCCUCCAGAACUGGGAGAAAUAAAUGUUGGUUAUUUAAGCCACCUUGUCAAUGGUAUUCCUGUUAUAGCAGCCCCAAAUGACUAAGACAAUAAUGUUCUGAAAAAGGCAAAAUUAUGAGGGACAGUGAAAAGGUCAGUGGUUGCCAGGCAUUAGGAGGGAGGAAUGGGAGGGGGGGAACCAGAGGAUUUUGAGGGCAAUGCAGCUAUUCUGUGUGAUGCUAUGAUGGCUGAUACAUAUUUUUACACAUUUGUCAAAGCCCAUAAACUGUACAAAAUCAAGAGUGAACCCUAAUGUCAAUGAUAGGCUUUGGGUGAUAAUAAUGUGUUAAUGAAGGUUUAUCAAUUGCAACAAAUGUGUCGCUUUGGUGCGGGGGUAUCGGUGGUGGGGGAGGAGGUAUGGAAGUGGGGGGAAUUGGGGAGUUCUCUGUAUUUUUCUGCUCACUUUUGCUGAAAACCUAAAAUUGCUUUAAAAAAUAAAGUCUAUUCUGGAGCGCCUGGGUGGCUCAGUCGGUUAGGCGUCCAACUCUUGAUUUCAGCUCAGGUUAUGAUCUCAGGGUGGUGAGAUUGAGCCUCACAUCGGGCUCUGCACUGGGUUUGCAGCCUGCUUGAGAUUCUCUCUCUCCCUCUCCUCAACUCCGCUCUCUCUCUCUCUCUAAAAAAACAAGGUCUACUAAAAUAUGUACAUAAAGAUUUAAUAUUCUAAUUAUUUUAAGCGUACCGUUGAGUGGCAUUAGGAAGACACAAUGAUGUGUAGUCACCACUGCUAUUUUCACAACUUUUUCAUCAUCCAAACAGAAACUUUAUAUCCAUUAAGCUAUAACUCCCCAUUUCCCCUUCCCCCAGCCCAUGGUAACCUCUAUGGUACGGACUUUAUGAAUUUGCCUGUUCCAGGCACAGCAUAGAAGUAGAAUCGUACAACAUUCGUCCUUUUGCAUCUAGCUUAACUCACUUAGCAGAAAGUUUUCAAGGUUUGCUCAUGUUGUAGCAUGUUAUCAGAACUUCCUUUUUAUGGCUCAACACUAUUUCAUUGUGUAUAUAUACCACAUUUAAAUUUGUUUGUUUAUUUAUUUAUUUAUUUAUUUAUUUAUUUAUUUUAUACCACAUUUUAAAAAAUCCAUUUAUCUGUGUAUGGACACUUGGGUUGUUUCCGUCUUUGGGCCACCAUGAACAAUUCUGUUUUGCAUGUUGAUGUACAAGUAUCUGUUUGAACCCGUGAUUUCAAUUCUUUUGAGUAUAUACCUAAGAGUGGAAUUGCUGGAUUGUAUGGUAACUCUAUGUAUAACUUUCUGAGAAAUUGCCAAACUGUUUUCCCCAGCAGCUGCCCCAUUUUACGUUCCCACCAGAAUGUACAAGGUUUCAAUUUCUCUGCGUUCUCCACAUUUAUCCUUUUCUGUUAUUUAUUUUGAAAUUGUGACCAUCCUAGUGGGUGUUAAGGUGAUAAUUUUAUUGUGGUUUUUAUUUUCAUUUCCAUAGUGAUUAACAAUGCUGAAUUAUAUUUUCAUGUGCUUGUUGGCUUUGUGUGUAUUUUCUUUGGGGAAAUGUCUAUUCCAGUCAUCUGCCAGUAUUUUAGUUGAGUUAUAUUGUUGUUGUUUUGAGUUGUAUGAAUAACUCAACUUUAUGUAUUCUGAAUAUUAAUCUCUUAGCAUAUAUAUGAUUUACAAGUAUUUACUCCCAUUACAUGGGAUGUCUUUUUCUUGAUAGUGGCCUUUGGAGCACAAAAUUUUUUUUAUUUUUUUUCAAAAGGUUUUUUUUAAUUUGAUAUAAUCUAUUUUAUCUAAUUUUUCUUUUGUUCCCUGCACAUUUAAUAUCAUAUUUUUAAAGCCAUUGACAAAUCUAAGGUCAUGAAGAUUUUCCCUCAGAUUUUCUUCUAAGAAUUUUAUAGCUUUAGAUAUUAAAUUUAGGUCUCUGAUCCAUUUAGAGUUAACUUUGGUAAAUGUGUAAUGUAAGGCUCCAACUUCAUUCUUUUGCCUGAGGACAUCCAGUUUUCCUAGACAGCACCGUUUGUUGAAAAGACCUUCUUUCCCCCUCUUCGCCCCCGUCCAUCCGCAGAUGGUCUUGGCACCCUUGUUGAGAAUCGGUUGACACUGUGGAGAUUUGUUGUUCUUUUUGUAGCUCCUUUAGUUAGAAGGUUAGGUUGUUUGAGAUUUUUCUUGCUUCUUAAUGUUGGCCUGUACUGCUACAUACUUC